RNAcentral lists this ribosomal RNA (497 nucleotides) under uncultured bacterium. Its description in RNAcentral is "partial 16S ribosomal RNA". It matches the Rfam family "Bacterial small subunit ribosomal RNA", at positions 28 to 507 of the family's 1533-position model. The record is from RNAcentral.
GAUGAACGCUGGCGGCGGGCCUAACACAUGCAAGUCGAGCGAGCACACGGGGAGCUUCCGCCCUUGAGGGUGGCGGGGGACGGACGGGUAACACGUGGAUCGCAUACCUCUAUGACUGGGGGAAUAACGGGGAAAGGGAGCUAAUACGGCAUCAUAUAUCGAACCGGGUGGAUCAAUGGUUAGAGACGGUUUUGGCGGGAGUAAUAGCCGAAUCCGCGCCAGAUUAGCUAGUUGGUAAGGUAACGGCUUACCAAGGCUACGACGCGUAGCCGCUCUGAGAGGAUGAUCGGCCACCCUGGAACUGAGACACGGUCCAGACUCCUACGGGAGGACGCAGUAGGGAAUCUUCCGCAAUGGGCGAAAGCCUGACCUAGCAACACCGCGUGAGUGAUGAAGGACUUCGGCUCGUAAAGCUCUGUUGUUCGGAAAGAACAAAAGCAUAUUUAGCUAUGCAGGUAUUGACGGUACCUAAAGAAAAAGCCCCGGCUAACUCCGUG